CACUGUGGAAUUCGCCCUUCCUACGGGGGGCAGCAGUGGGGAAUAUUGCACAAUGGGCGCAAGCCUGAUGCAGCCAUGCCGCGUGUAUGAAGAAGGCCUUCGGGUUGUAAAGUACUUUCAGCGAGGAGGAAGGCAUUGUGGUUAAUAACCACAGUGAUUGACGUUACUCGCAGAAGAAGCACCGGCUAACUCCGUGCCAGCAGCCGCGGUAAUACGGAGGGUGCAAGCGUUAAUCGGAAUUACUGGGCGUAAAGCGCACGCAGGCGGUCUGUCAAGUCGGAUGUGAAAUCCCCGGGCUCAACCUGGGAACUGCAUUCGAAACUGGCAGGCUAGAGUCUUGUAGAGGGGGGUAGAAUUCCAGGUGUAGCGGUGAAAUGCGUAGAGAUCUGGAGGAAUACCGGUGGCGAAGGCGGCCCCCUGGACAAAGACUGACGCUCAGGUGCGAAAGCGUGGGGAGCAAACAGGAUUAGAUACCCCUGUAGUCAAGGGCGAAUUCCACAUUGGG
RNAcentral lists this ribosomal RNA (505 nucleotides) under uncultured bacterium. Its description in RNAcentral is "bacterial SSU rRNA". It matches the Rfam family "Bacterial small subunit ribosomal RNA", at positions 317 to 816 of the family's 1533-position model. The record is from RNAcentral.